This 69-nucleotide transfer RNA is filed under the name Bayerotrochus charlestonensis. Its description in RNAcentral is "tRNA-Asp". Lineage: Eukaryota; Metazoa; Mollusca; Gastropoda; Pleurotomariida; Pleurotomariidae. The record is from RNAcentral.
GGAAGAUUAGUUAACGACUUAUAACACUAGUUUGUCAUACUAGAAUCACUAAGAUAUUAGUAUUUUCCU